Non-coding RNA from Trichonephila clavata, 66 nucleotides. NCBI's taxonomy places the organism in Eukaryota, Metazoa, Arthropoda, Arachnida, Araneae, Nephilidae. The record is from the annotation of a GenBank genome assembly.
GUAGCGCAAUGGAUAGCGCGUUGGAUUUCUAAUCCAAAAGUCGUUGGUUCAAACCUGAAAUUCCCU